Molecule: ribosomal RNA, 542 nt
Filed under: Dechloromonas sp. enrichment culture
Lineage: Bacteria; Pseudomonadati; Pseudomonadota; Betaproteobacteria; Rhodocyclales; Azonexaceae
Description: bacterial SSU rRNA
Rfam family: Bacterial small subunit ribosomal RNA
Source: RNAcentral
GGGGCAACCCUGAUCCAGCCAUGCCGCGUGAGUGAAGAAGGCCUUCGGGUUGUAAAGCUCUUUCGGCCGGGAAGAAAUCGCAUAGGUUAAUACCCUGUGUGGAUGACGGUACCGGAAUAAGAAGCACCGGCUAACUACGUGCCAGCAGCCGCGGUAAUACGUAGGGUGCGAGCGUUAAUCGGAAUUACUGGGCGUAAAGCGUGCGCAGGCGGUUUCGUAAGACAGAGGUGAAAUCCCCGGGCUCAACCUGGGAACUGCCUUUGUGACUGCGAAGCUAGAGUACGGCAGAGGGGGGUGGAAUUCCACGUGUAGCAGUGAAAUGCGUAGAGAUGUGGAGGAACACCGAUGGCGAAGGCAGCCCCCUGGGCCGAUACUGACGCUCAUGCACGAAAGCGUGGGUAGCAAACAGGAUUAGAUACCCUGGUAGUCCACGCCCUAAACGAUGUCAACUAGGUGUUGGGUGGGUAAAACCAUUUAGUACCGUAGCUAACGCGUGAAGUUGACCGCCUGGGGAGUACGGCCGCAAGGUUAAAACUCAAAGA